ACGCCAAUACGAAAAUCCACCGUAUCCGCGUACCCAUCCCUAGGCGAGAGGGGAUGGUGCCCUGGCACCAGCCACACGAGCGCCCUCACCUGCUCCUGCGACGCUCGUCGGCUCAGCAGCAGUCCUCCCCCACAAAAGCAGAGACGCGUCCGACGCCGCCACCAAAAGCACCUUCCCCAGCCACGCUCCGCCGCCAUAGCCGCAGGAAAAUAUCAAAUCGGAGCCGCGAAGCACAACAGAAAUUUUUUUCCCUAGGGCUUGCACGCAAAACCCUCCUGAAUUCCCCAAUUCCGUGCCGUCCCUCGCUUCUUGUGGGCCACGAAUCUAGGGUUUAUGCAUGGCUUCUGACCCUCCCGGAGAUGGCACCAGUGGUGAGGAGACGGCGCCGGGCCCUGCCCCCGCCGUGGAGGCGCCGCCUGCUCCCGCCGUUCCGGCCAGGUCGCGCUGGGCCGCUGAGAUCAAGGUCUACACCCGUAAGCACCCCCGCAAAAACCCUAAACCUCCUCCAGAAUCAGCGGCUGACCCCGUUUCUGUUCCUUCCCCGGCUCCGAAUCCCCUUUCUGAAACCUUAUCCUCGAUUCGCCGCUCCAUCCACCGCACGGAGGCGGUGGACGCUGCGGCGCUGUCCGAUCCGGCAGCGCCGGCCUCGGUUCCCACCCGGGCGCCGUCUGGGGAACGUGGCGCCGCCUCUGGGGAUCCCUCGUCUGGGCUGAACCGGGUCGGCGGCGGUAUUCCUAACGGCCACGGCGACGACCGGGCGGCCGCCGCUGCUGUGAAAGCUGAGAAAGCACGGAAACGCAGGUUAAGGAGUGAGCUGCGGCGCUGUCUGGCAGGAGAGCUCGACCAGGUCCGCGUGCUCUCCAGGCGACUGAAGGAGGCUGCCGAGGCCCUGGCGCAACAGGAGGCUUCUGAGCCCGUGCCUUUGCCUUUGAUGGUGCUGCCAACACAGCAGCAGGUGGUGGAUGCUGGGUAUGUUCAGCACCAGUUCUUGGCUGGUGAUAUGGCGGUGCCCAUGCCUACUCAGAUUGCAGCUGCCGUUACUCCUGCCCGCUCGCUGCUGCAUCGCAGACCACUAACCGUGUCAGUUGUUCAUAAUGAAGCCUUUGAGAAGGAGAAACGGACGCCGAAGGCCAAUCAAUUGUACCAAAAUUCAGAGUUCUUGCUUGCCAAGGAUAGGAUUCCUCCCUCAGAUUCACAUGUGCGCAAGAAACCCAAGCACCACAAGAAGAAACAUAGGUCCCUAGAAUCUCGUGGCGCAGACUUUGAUGCCGAGCGGCGCCUGUACUCUCAUGCGUUCAAGAAGUCCUCAUCACUUCUGAGCCGCUUAAUGAAGCACAAGUUUGGGUGGGUGUUCAACAAGCCUGUUGAUCCAGUCACACUUGGUUUGCAUGAUUAUUUUACUAUUAUCAAGCACCCAAUGGAUCUUGGCACAAUAAGGGGGCGGCUGAGCCGUGGGCAGUACAGGAACCCUAAGGAGUUUGCUGAGGAUGUCCGUCUUACUUUCCAUAAUGCGAUGACAUAUAAUCCCAAGGGUCAGGAUGUGCAUUUCAUGGCGGAGCAGUUGUUAGGAAUCUUUGAGGCACAGUGGCCUGAGAUUGAGGCUGAGGUUAACUACCUCGCAUCAUGUCCUCCAUUGCCGAAGAAGUUUCCCCCGCCACCAAUUGACCUGCGCUUCCUAGAGAGGUCAGAUUCAAUGAGACACCAUGUGGCAUUGGACACCAAUUCAAGACCGAUCAGUCAUACUCCCACUUAUACCCGAACUCCGUCAAUGAAGAAACCAAGAGCAAAGGAUCCAAAUAAGAGGGACAUGACAAUAGAUGAGAAGCGUAAGCUUAGUGAGAACCUCCAGAAUUUGCCGCCGGUGAAGCUUGAUGCUGUUGUGCAAGUCAUUAAGAACAAGAACUUAUCAGUUAAGCAACAUGAUGAUGAGAUAGAGGUUGAAAUUGAUAGCAUGGAUGCUGAGACACUUUGGGAGCUUGACAGGUUUGUGUCGAACUACAAGAAGAACCUGAGCAAGCAAAAGAGAAAGGCCGAGCGAGCGAUGCUUGCCCGACAAGAUGCAGAGUUGCGUGCACAGCACCCUAUACAACAACCACAACCAACCCCAGUCCCCCAAGAACCUUUUGGUGAAAAAUCUCCAAAACAAGUUGUGAAAGAUUCGCUGGAAGGCGAGCAACUGCCAGCAUCUGCACCAGAACAAAAUGGUGAGAAUAGACAGAAUGCGAGUAGUUCAAGCAAUUCAAGCAGCUCCAGCAGUGGCUCAGGAUCAUCUUCUAGUGGCUCAGACAGUGAUAGCUCCUCUUCAGAUGGAUCUGAUGCUGGCAAUUCAUCUUGAGAUAUAGAUGCAUGCCUUUUUCUUUUGAGACCAGUGCCAUGGGGCCUUGGGCGCCUCCGUUCUGGUCAGCCCUGAUGUUAACGUUUCUGCUAGAUACCGUUCUUGUUUGGUAGACGAGAAACAUUGUGUGGCUGGUGUUAAAUGGUUCAGAAGUUCUGUCGAGUAGGCAAUAACUGCCUAUUUGACGCGACAAUAGCACCAUAAGAUUGUACAUGCUUACCUUGUCUGGCUUAGGGAACCCCUGUAGUUUAAGUAGGUUUUGUAUGUCGAUUCACCCGCUGAUGAAGGCAGUAACUUGUAGGUUUCGUGGUGUACCCGCCUAAUAAGACUAGGCUUGUUGCUGACACCGUCCCUUGGUACACCGCACUUUUGCUAGGAGCCCUCUGGCUGGCCCAGACAGUACUAGCAUGUACAUUAGCGGCAGCUUGAACGCUGAUUUUGUUUAGCUGUGUUGAUUGCAGUAUGUAGGAAGGCGACUGCUGUAUGCAUUUUUUUCUUACUUUUGUUUAACUUACGGAUGAAAGCAUUGGCAGGCCAUACAACCCCUGAUGGUGUUUAGUUUGCCACCAUCUUUCUGUGGAGUACCAGUGACUGCGGAGGCUUCAUCACCACACCAUGCGCAAAAGUCUGUUCGAUUGGCUGCUCUAAAUUUGGGUCUUGGGUUUGCAUAAAGUUUGUUGAUGCACAUGAUGUUCCUCAUCACGAUCAUUGAUGGUCCAUUGUUAUGUUAUGGAGUGAUGAGGAAUAGGUGGUUGUGUUGGGCACGAGCACGAGAGAUGAUGUGUAGCAGUUCGGACCUUUGGGUGGGUAGCAGUAGGUAGCCUCCCCUCCUUUCCCCUGGUCUGGUGAUGAUGGUUUGUUGGAGAUGUGGCUAUAUGUGCGUAUGAUAUGCCGUGGCUCCUUUUGAGCUGUUUGCUGGC
Molecule: RNA transcript, 3255 nt
Organism: Zea mays
Lineage: Eukaryota; Viridiplantae; Streptophyta; Magnoliopsida; Poales; Poaceae
Gene name: transcription factor GTE4
Exons: 6
Source: RefSeq, a predicted model, not a curated record